AUAACAGCAUGUCUCGAAGUGUUUUUUUUUAACGGCUUAUACAAAUAUUCUGUUCAAUUCUACGUAUUAAACUGUGGAAGUUAGUGACCAGGAAAUGCUUCGUGUCGCUGUUUGGUCAGUAUUCUUACGAGAUUAAGAAUUUCUAUAAAUAUGUGUAUGUUUAAUUCGUCAUUUGUAUUUAUCGACGCGAAUAUGUAGCUCCUUUCGAUGGGUUAUACAUUUAUUCAAAUAGAUGUAAUACUUAAUUCAUGAAUACAAUGUUUGAAACAUGCACGUGCUGGUUAACUGUAAAAAUGGAUCAAAUGGAUUAAAAAUGGAAAUCUGGUCUCAGUAGUAACAAGACUGAUUACAUAACUUCAUGGUUGAUUUCAAACCAACCCUGAAGCCGGUGUAUAGCGGCUGAGAGAAUUUGGUGCGAGUUCUGUAGAGAAGUGUCAUCGUGCCACAGACGUUGUAGAAGGACAGGAUUCCUGCACGACUAUCGACAGUACACUCCUACUUUAGAAGGCGAUCGGACUUUGAGCUCAGUCUUCUUGUUCUUGUGACAGAAAUAGCAAGUGGAAGAAGAACACACCAGACUCCAGGACCGGUCGUUGAAUCCAAACCCACACUCUUUACCAUCUCCUGUCCUGCUGAUGUCUUUAUACGAGACUGAUAUUUCUAAAUAUCCCUCAUUGACCCGCUCCACCUCCCAGUAACAGCAAUCCCUGAGACUUUCAUUACACAACACCUGCCAGUAGUAGUCAAAUCUCUCUGAAGGCAUAGCUAAACCGCAGUAAUAUCUCUCUGAGGAACUGUAGAUAGCACGGCUGUUCCGUCUCACAGCCUGUGACGACGGUGUUUCUCUCAGACAGAAGGAGGUUACGAUGUGCUGUGUAUGGAUCCAGAGUCAGACGACAGAAAUCUAAAAACAAACAAACAGAAAAUUGAGCAUGUUACAUGUAACCAACAAAAUAUAACUUGCAUUUCUAUUGUAACAGCUAAACGUAUCACCAAGAGGGAAAUUUCGUUAUAGAUAAAUAAUGUGUUUUUGUGCUUAUGUUUUUUAUUUAUUUAUUUACGGUUCAUAAACUCGUCUCUGGUCCUU
Ictalurus punctatus (channel catfish) is the source of this 1087-nucleotide long non-coding RNA. The record is from Ensembl. NCBI's taxonomy places the organism in Eukaryota, Metazoa, Chordata, Actinopteri, Siluriformes, Ictaluridae.